Dioscorea cayenensis subsp. rotundata (Guinea yam) is the source of this 584-nucleotide long non-coding RNA. RefSeq lists it as uncharacterized. The transcript is spliced from 3 exons. Lineage: Eukaryota; Viridiplantae; Streptophyta; Magnoliopsida; Dioscoreales; Dioscoreaceae. The record is from RefSeq and is a predicted model, not a curated record.
CAUACAUUUCGGUGAACUGGAGCUGACCAGUUUGGUGCACCGACAAAGAUGUGGCCUUGGGAAGAUGGAACAAAUUCCUUGGCUAUGGCAAAAAAAAAGAAGUUAGAUAAAAUGGCUAGCUCUUGUUCUCUGUGUAGAUCAUCGGCAUUAAUUUUUUUCUAUCUCAUGGAUGUAGUGCGGGCCAAUUUUGACUUCAUUAAAAAGAUUGGACUUGAUAGGUGGUGUUUUCAUGACCGGGAUAUUACUCCUGAUGAUAAAACACUAGCGGAAUCUAACGCAAAUUUGGAUGAAGUGGUGGCUCUUGCAAAAUAACUUCAGGCCAAACUUCUGUGUCAGAGUAUGAUCUUGGAGAAGUAUAUCUGUUCAAGGUUCCAAAACCAUUUAUUGAGAACCAAGUUCUUUCACUUGAUUCUUGACAGCUGCAAUUUCUAUUAUUGCUAGAAAUGAAGAUGUAUUUCAUGCAACAAGGAGAUCCACUUAGUGAUAUCUUCUUCCAAUAUACUUUGUUGUUGUGAGAGACUAAUAAUUUGUUUGCGCGCAUGAUAAUAUGUAUAUUGAUAAUAAAGAAAAAAUUUGUUCUUUUA